RNAcentral lists this ribosomal RNA (576 nucleotides) under uncultured bacterium. RNAcentral's name for it is "bacterial SSU rRNA". It matches the Rfam family "Bacterial small subunit ribosomal RNA", at positions 338 to 909 of the family's 1533-position model. The record is from RNAcentral.
CCUACGGGAGGCAGCAGUGGGGAAUUUUGGACAAUGGGCGCAAGCCUGAUCCAGCCAUGCCGCGUGCGGGAAGAAGGCCUUCGGGUUGUAAACCGCUUUUGUCAGGGAAGAAAUCCCUUGAGCUAAUACCUCGGGGGGAUGACGGUACCUGAAGAAUAAGCACCGGCUAACUACGUGCCAGCAGCCGCGGUAAUACGUAGGGUGCAAGCGUUAAUCGGAAUUACUGGGCGUAAAGCGUGCGCAGGCGGUUAUGUAAGACAGGUGUGAAAUCCCCGGGCUUAACCUGGGAACUGCACUUGUGACUGCAUAGCUUGAGUGCGGCAGAGGGGGAUGGAAUUCCGCGUGUAGCAGUGAAAUGCGUAGAUAUGCGGAGGAACACCGAUGGCGAAGGCAAUCCCCUGGGCCUGCACUGACGCUCAUGCACGAAAGCGUGGGGAGCAAACAGGAUUAGAUACCCUGGUAGUCCACGCCCUAAACGAUGUCAACUGGUUGUUGGACGGCUUGCUGUUCAGUAACGUAGCUAACGCGUGAAGUUGACCGCCUGGGGAGUACGGCCGCAAGUUGAACUUAGAGAUG